RNAcentral lists this transfer RNA (73 nucleotides) under Angiostrongylus costaricensis. It matches the Rfam family "tRNA". From Rfam's summary of the family: Transfer RNA (tRNA) molecules are approximately 80 nucleotides in length. Their secondary structure includes four short double-helical elements and three loops (D, anti-codon, and T loops). Lineage: Eukaryota; Metazoa; Nematoda; Chromadorea; Rhabditida; Metastrongylidae. The record is from Rfam by way of RNAcentral.
GAUCUUGUGAUGUAGUCGCGAUCACAUCUGUCUAACACACAGAAGGUCGGCGGUUCGAGUCCGCCCGAGAUCA